GUGGUUGUAACUCUGUGGUAGAGUGUUUGCUUCAUGUGCGUGAGGCACUGGGUUCAAUCCUCAGCACCACA
This is a non-coding RNA of Ictidomys tridecemlineatus (thirteen-lined ground squirrel), 71 nucleotides long. Lineage: Eukaryota; Metazoa; Chordata; Mammalia; Rodentia; Sciuridae. The record is from Rfam.